UUCCUACGGGGGGCAGCAGUGGGGAAUAUUGCACGGUGGGCGAAAGCCUGAUGCAGCAACGCCGCGUGAAGGAAGAAGGUCUUCGGAUCGUAAACUUCUGUCCUUGGGGAAGAUAAUGACGGUACCCUUGGAGGAAGCCCCGGCUAACUACGUGCCAGCAGCCGCGGUAAUACGUAGGGGGCAAGCGUUAUCCGGAAUUACUGGGUGUAAAGGGAGCGUAGACGGUUAAGUAAGUCUGGAGUGAAAGGCCGGGGCCCAACCCCGGGACUGCUCUGGAAACUAUUCAACUUGAGUGCAGGAGAGGU
RNAcentral lists this ribosomal RNA (305 nucleotides) under uncultured bacterium. RNAcentral describes it as "bacterial SSU rRNA". It matches the Rfam family "Bacterial small subunit ribosomal RNA", at positions 336 to 658 of the family's 1533-position model. The record is from RNAcentral.